UAGGGAAUAUUGCGCAAUGGGGGAAACCCUGACGCAGCGACGCCGCGUGAGUGACGAAGGACUUCGGUUCGUAAAGCUCUGUCGCAGGGGAAUAUUAUGAAGGUACCCUGUAAGAAAGGAUCGGCUAACUUCGUGCCAGCAGCCGCGGUAAGACGAGGGAUCCUAGCGUUGUUCGGAAUCAUUGGGCGUAAAGCGGGUGUAGGUGGCUUUAUAAGUCAGAUGUGAAAUCCCUGGGCUUAACCCAGGACGUGCAUUUGAUACUGUUGAGCUUGAGUGUGGGAGAGGUUAGUAGAAUUCCUGGUGUAGUGGUGAAAUACGUAGAUAUCAGGAGGAAUACCGGUGGCGAAGGCGGCUAACUGGCCCAACACUGACACUGAGACCCGAAAGCGUGGGUAUCAAACAGG
RNAcentral lists this ribosomal RNA (404 nucleotides) under uncultured bacterium. RNAcentral describes it as "bacterial SSU rRNA". It matches the Rfam family "Bacterial small subunit ribosomal RNA", at positions 355 to 776 of the family's 1533-position model. The record is from RNAcentral.